RNAcentral lists this ribosomal RNA (311 nucleotides) under uncultured bacterium. Its description in RNAcentral is "bacterial SSU rRNA". It matches the Rfam family "Bacterial small subunit ribosomal RNA", at positions 28 to 334 of the family's 1533-position model. The record is from RNAcentral.
GAUGAACGCUCGGCGGCGUGCUUAACACAUGCAAGUCGAACGAUGAAGCCCGUGCUUGCGACGGGUGGAUUAGUGGCGAACGGGUGAGUAUCACGUGAGUAACCUGCCCUUAACUCUGGGAUAAGCCUGGGAAACUGGGUCUAAUACCGGAUACGACCAGUCACCGCAUGGUGUGCUGGUGGAAAGCUUUUGCGGUUUUGGAUGGACUCGCGGCCUAUCAGCUAGACGGUGGGGUAAUGGCCUACCGUGGCGAUGACGGGUAGCCGGCCUGAGAGGGUGACCGGCCACACUGGGACUGAGACACGGCCCAG